GUGUUAUUGUGAAAUCGCUGACUGAUCAUUACUGUAGGUAGCAUUAUUAUUAUGGAUUUACUAAUCACUUUGUUAUCAUUUAACGAUUUGUACACAAUGCUUUACAUGCAAUACCAUAUAGGACUAAUCAGAAGUAAGUCCAACUGCUUUCAAUUGUGCUUAUUCCCAGGUAAAUGGAUAUAAGAUUGCAACAUAAAUCUCUUUGAUUGAAUUGUGCCCAGUGCUUUUUUUCUGGGGGGACGCAUACCCCUAAACAUUUUGUGAAUCUAAGUUUGGCCUCAUUGAGGGGCAGUAUUUCAAUAUGAGUAGGAAAAUGAGAGUACCCCUAAACAUUUUUUUUUUUGAAAAAAAGGACUGAUUGUGCCUAUUGAUAAUAGUGGUUGCUGCUAUUAUUUGUAUUAUUUAAAAGUGGCAGAGUGUGCUAAAGGGGGGGCGGGAUAUCACAUAAUGAAGUACAACUAAUCCCUAAUGCAGGAUAAAUUACCUUAACUCCUAGGAAACUAAAGCUCUUUAAAUUAAUCCCCAUUAUUUGGCAUAUGAAUGAAUAUGUUUACAUUUGGAAUAAAAGCCAUAUUAAACUUCUCACCUUUCCAUGGUGCUGAUUUACGAUUUAGUCUUUCUGGAGGUAUGUGAAUAAGAAAUCUCAGCAUUUGUGUGUGUUUUGCAGAGCAAGAAAUUCUUUUCAUUCCCCAAGACUAGAAUAAUAUUCCACUGAAUUUCUAUUAUUUUUUCUUGGUUUAUUGGACUAGUUGCACAGAUGUCCACUUUUCCUGUGCCAGCUGUGCAGAGAGCUGCUUCAAACUUAGACCAAAAUGUUGACAGAAUAAUAUAACUCAGGCCAGACAUACUGCAUUUUACACUAGAGGUCAUAUGAAAAAGUACUGGCAGCCUAUAGCACAAGCUGUUUUACAUAAGCAUACAUUUGGUAUGUGAAUUACUCAAAGAAUGCUGUGGGAGGGAGGGGGUAAGGGAACAAACUUCACAGCCGUUGUAGAAGAUGUAACAAUUGUUCAUCAAAUUACCUCAGAGUCUGUUUAUGCCUAUUUAAGAAGUGUGAGAUAUCAUUACCCACUAAAAGGUGUCAGAAACAAUAGUCUCUUCACAAUACACUAUGCAGGAUUCCCAAAGUAGGAUGGAAACUGUUUCAGAUAAUCUAAGUUCUCACAUUUUCUCCUUUCUCAUGGCUCUGAUUCACCCACAAAAAGAACACACAAAAGAAAUAAUGUAAAGGCUGUGGGCAAAUCUUCUAGGAUAAUUCAGAGAGCAAGAGUCAAAUGGUGAUCUCGCCCUGAAAUGACAAGAGAAUGCCAGUUGCAAAUGUUCAGUUCUCCCAAAUCAGGCAAAUUAGGGGGGUUUUCCUCACCCCAACAGGCUUCUUUUUCGUUCCAGAAUAGUCUCCAUAUUCUUAAACAAUAAUGGGGAUCCCAAGCCCUGAUUCUCAUAGCCUGGUGUUUUUAUUCAGUAACCCUAAACCAAGUGCUAAUAAUUUGAUGAAAUGGGGGGGGGGGGAACAGUCUGGAUUGGUCUUUAAGCAUAUGUUAAUAAAUCUGUUCCUAAAUUGGAGAAGCAAAGGCUAAGGAGUAAACCCUACACAAAUCUGGAUUGGAGUCCCUAAGAUGCUUGAAUGGUACCUUGUACACCUCCUUCCAACAAUGCCUGCAGUCAGGCUGGUGCCAAAUGUAUUGCUAUGCUUUCCUUUGGACCACAUCAGUGAGACCAAGAGGGGGUCAUGUCAUCUGGGCAGCCCAGGAUCUCCAUACACACUGCCCAGGUUUGUGCCCUGGGGAGGUCACUUUGGUGCUGCUAAAACAGCAGUUUGACUUCACUCCUGGAAGCACACUCCAUUGCCUCUCAAGACAGAUGGAUGCCAACAACAAAACAACCUGUGUUGUAGUAAAUCAUGCUCAGUUCUUUUAUUAAUACCUGGGAGCAGUGGCAUAGUGUGGGGCUUUGCCCCAGGCGCAAAAUUGUUAGGGAGUACAAAAAUUCAACACCCAGUGCUGCCUCAAUACAGCUGCAUGCUUCCAUUGCUGGGCUCCGUUGAAAACGGCUUCUCCAUGCGAAGCAGGAAGUGACCUCUCCAGACAAUGAGAUGACUCUUUUUAUCUCUGCAGCUGUGAUUUCCUGGGUGAUGCGGAUGCCAUUAGCCAGCUGAAUGCACAUGUGUACACCGUCUGUUUCCCUCCCUCCUGUUUCCCCCCUCCCCUCAUGGCCCCAGGCACAGGCAACCCAUGCUACACCUUGGAGACAAUUAUCUGUACAUCAGUUAAUUGGUCAGGGCGAAAAUUCUUCUCAGAUGAAGGAAGUUUUUUUUAUUCUCUCUCUAUAUCACCUAUAUAUUAUGUCUUUCCUCCAAGGAGACUAGACUGACAUAAGAGGCACUACAGGAAAGGUGAAAGCAUAUGGGAAACAUUCGCCUCCCAUCCAUUUUUAGCCAAGAUUCGUUACCUAUGAACAGGGAGAGAGGGUUCAUAUAGUACACAGAGAGGGGCCUGCCUCUCUCAUAAUAUUUCAUACACCAGCUAACUGAAUAUAGAUAUAUAGUGAAAGAUUAAUGUAAAUGUAAAUAUCCUAUCAAAUUGAACUUAGAAUCCAUCACAGCAGUCAAAAGCAUGUAACUGACCACAAAUAACCACAUUCCACUGGUUUACUCUAACUUAUCCUGAAUAAAAUAAUGCCACAAAACAUGGAAUAUUUGCUCAAGUGAAAGAUCUGUUGAGUUUAAGGGUAUGAAGUUGUAACAUAGCCAAGGGUUGGUACCCUUGCCCUCCAAACAUCACAAGCAGAAAGAUCUUAAAGGGUGAAUGCAGAUGAUCUUAAAGAUCAUUAGGUGACUAAUUAAACAUUUGAGACAAACUGAGUUUGUUAAUAAGAAAAGCUUACUUUCUGGAAACAGCGUAGGAUGUAUAUUUUAGAUAAAAUAAAAAUUGUGAUGGUUGAGUUUGAUGGUUGUUAAAUGUUUGUUCUUACCCAGGUUUCCCUGCAAGUUCUCAUGAAAGAUAGUUGUGCCCAUUCCAUUCAGCUAUAAAUGGGGGAUUUGAUGUGUUUUAUCGAGGAACUAAUACAUGACAGCCAUAUAUGGGAAAUCACUCAUUACUUGUGAAUAGAAAGUCAUUUUCAUAAGGAGCUGCCUUGUACCAAGUCAGACCAUUGCUCCAUCUCAUGCAGCAUUGUCUAUAUGACUGGAAGCAGCUCUCUAGGGUUUUGAAUUUGAACCUUCCACUGCCUAACAGGAGAUGUCCAGGAUUGAACCAGAGACCUUCAUGCUAAGCAUACGGUCUACCACUGAAAAAGUGUCCUUUCAUCAACUGCCAUUUUCCAAACAAUAAUAUGUUUUUAGGUAUGACCAAUAAAUUAAUAUGCUCACAUUAAUAUAGUCACUCAGACGGAUACUUGCCAAAUAUUAGAAACAGAGAAAUACUAAAACAGAGAAAUAAGAAUGCUUUCCCCAACUUGCAGUACAUUUAACAAUAACAUUAAUUGCUUACUUAUCUUUUCAGCAUUAUUCCUUCAUGAAGACUCAGUCUCUACAUUUCCUUAUCGCUUACACUCUCAUUACAGUAUGACCAGGAUUUAUGAGUUGAUUACUGUGUGAAUGUUAGACCACAAAGUAUCAUUUAUGUUCUACCCUGACCUUUACUGUGACCUCUGGGGGAUUACAGUAAGAAGAAAACGUGUGAACUUGGCAUAGCCAAAGGGUGUAAUACAACCCUACAGAACUGAUAAUAAAGCAAGGCUUCACUUUUCAGUGACAAAGGACAGUUUGAAAAGAAGGCCACUAAAGAACCGCAAGAGAAUCUGAUGUUUUUAGUGUGCAUAUGUCAUGUGUAUUAAAAUAGUAUCCUCAGCAUCUUGAGAUAUUUUCAGUGGACCGUUAUUGUAAUACUGAAAACAGUCUAAAAAAUGGCAAAUAUUGACAUGUUUUUAACUUAUCAUAAAUACAUUCUAAGGAUCUAUAAGGAAAACCAGAAUUUUGCAGCUUGAAAUAUCUGAUGCCCACACCAUAAACAUAAAUACUUGUGUUCCUAAAAAUUAAAUACUUUACUCCAGAUAAGGUCUAGCAAGCACUCAGUAGACUCAGUGUAGAAUAGUGAGUUUGCAGUAGGCAUGUUAUCUGUUCCAAAGGAUCCAUUUUUCCCAUCCCAUCAAGCACUAUAUGAUGCAACAAGUCCAAUAUAUCACCCUAAGAGAACUCAGGCUCAAACGAUAUCAGAAGCACAAAGUAAGAAAUAAGAAAUUGUCAUUGUAUACUCCAUGCCAAGUCAUAUGUCAAAGACACAUAUGUGCAGUAUAUUAUUAAAGUGAGCAUUUAGAAAACAUUCACCCAUUUUAUAGAUAGGAAAAACUGAGGCAAAUAGUCUAUACUAAAGAGAUUCCAUGACCAAGAAAUCAAGACACAUGUAAACAAGACUACAUGGAAGUGAGCAAACUUUCAGAUCAAGUGAAUCUUCACAACAUCCUUCUGCAUGACAGAAUUUGCUCUGGUCGCUAUAUGACCCACCCAACUAACACAGACCAAUAUGGCUUCUCCGUGCUAUUUCCACUGCUAUUGUUUUCAAGUAAAUGAUUAUUGUGAAUGAAGACAAACAAACAAAUAUACCAACCCCAAACAGUAACUUUUUAUUCAUCGCCACUACAAACAUCUGCUGCCAAGGGCCACCUAGUAUUAGGCCUGUCUUAUGGCUACAGAUGAAAGGGAUGUAACUGAAAGGAAAUACCAGCUAAGGGAAAGAAGAGAAAUAGGAUAUUUUGUUCAGACACACUGAAAGUAUUACAAAAGCAAAUCUGUAUGGUUUCCAGAAUCUGCCUGUCAGUAAAUAGAAGAUAAUUCAGUUAUCCUAUCUGAUACAACAUUGCUGUCUGUUAUUUAAUUUGAUGAAGGUAGCUCUCUAUUAGCAUACUAAUAAAUGUCUACAAUAUUUUCCUACAUAAACUAUGAGCUUCUGCAUGUUAUUAAUUAACCUUAUGUACAGAAAAAAGAACUUGAGUCCCCCCCCCCAAAAAAGGAUGAAUACUACAUUUGCUUUUUCUGUUGUAUCUAGUAUAUGACUAUUUGCUGUUUUAAUAGCCUUAACUGAGAAUUACUAGUGGCAACUGCUAAUUUUUCCAGCUUCUAUUGAUAGUUUAUCGGUUUUCGAUGCCCUUUGUUGAACUCCUUCAAGGUAGACCAAUACUAAGCAAACAAAAAGAGUGAUUUGUACUAACUGUGCCACAGAUACUUUGGAAUGAAAUAAACUUAUAUCUUAUAUGAGUGUAUAGAAUGAUGACAGGAGACUUCUAAGCAUAUGCAGUAGCUGUACAUUAGCAGUGUUACUGGGAACCUUUUUUUCUGUAAAAGGACUGAUUUUGAGGGACUGCAGCUGGGACCUCUCUGUGAACUUCAUAUGUAAUGAAAACCUCUCCCCCCCCCACCCAAAUACUAAUUUAAAAACACUGCUUAUGGCUCUGCACACUAUGCAUUUAAUGUAAUGUGUUGUUAGUUCAUCAGUAGAGGGGUGUGUGUGUGGUGAAAUGCUCUGUUGGUGCAUGGUUUGUUUUGAAAUCUUGCUAACACUUGCUAACACACCGUUCAACAAUUACACUUUUCAAGUAAAUAUUUUGCCAAAGGAGGAACAGCAGAUAAAUCUUGAUCCCUUUGUGGCUUUUCUGUAUAUCCCUGUUUCCAACAAAAAGACCCCACUAGCGGCUCUGCCUUAUCACUAGGCCUUGGCCUUGCAAAAUGACUAGGCCACAACCAUGCCAGGCUAUGCACUAAUAAUAAAUCAACUGUGUUCCUAUUUAAUAUACUUAAAUAACUUUAACAGUCCAAGUCUACCUGCAUUUAAGUGCCUGGUGUUCUGCGCAGAGUCUCUGUCCCCCUUCGCGAACUCCUCGAAUAAUCCUUUCUGCCACAAAAUUGCUGGUUGUGGGCCUUUGUGGCAUUGAAUCUGGCCUGGGCCCCUUCUCCAUUGCUGGGCUCCGUUGAAAACGGCUUCUCCAGAGGCAGAAGCCAAAUAUGACAGGCUUCCUAGCCUAGGCAGAAGGCCAAAACCAAAGCCCACAAUCCCUGAGUGUAAAGGGCAGAGCAGGCCAAGGAGGCGAGAGAGAGGCCAUUUUGGAUGUGUCAGGCGACAGGCAGCCUCACAGCACUGAAGUAGGCCAGAAAAGCCUGAUAUAUAUCUCAGAAGGUUAUUUAGUCCGCAGAUAUGUAAUCAUUAGAAUCAGCCCAGCUUCCCAGGCUCACUUUUGAAGCACCCCUGGUACAGAGGUGACCUGUUCCGUUGCUGAGCGGUGGUGUGGGUGUUUCAAUGUCUGGGGUUUCGAAGGGUGUGUGGGUUUGUCGGGUGUUUGGGUAUUUGUGGCAUGAGGUGCGGUUGUGGGUUUACAGGGAGGGAUACAUGCAUGGUAGUGGUCCCCCUCUAGGGCUUGGACUACUGGAAAGGUUUAACACCUGGCCUGUGCCUCACAGAGGUGCUUUGCUGCAGUUACUAUUUCUCAACAUGGCCCACCCCACAGGGUUGUUGUGAUAUUAAAUACUGGAAGAGAAGCACCACUGCUCCCCUCCCCAGGCAAAGUUCCUCUAGGGUGUGUUUUUUAUACUGGGGUGCUGUGUUUGUGAGGGGUGUGUGGGACUUGCUCAGACUUCUAUAAUGCACAGCCACAUACUGUAUAUAUUUUUCUUAUACAUAUAUAAACACAAGGCUAUGCUGACCCAAUACGGAAUUACUUAAAAUUUUUUUGAAAGUGAUUUAAAUGCCACACAGUCAUCGGCAUCAUACAAAUAAUUGAAGAUGUGUUUCUCAGUACCAGCCCCUGCUGCCGCCUUUGCUCUGGAUUGAUACAUGUUUUGGAGGGAUAUGCAGAAGUUUUGAAGGCAUAUAUCCUACUACACUUCAUAAUGUCCCUUGGCAAUGAGUUCCACAGGUAGCUGUAAGCAUGAAAAAGCAACCAUCAAAUUUGCUUGUUUUAAUUCAUGUCCCAUUAAUUUUUUAAGUCCAUCCCCAUUCCGUGUGUGUGAUACAAAGGGAGUAUGUGUAUGUUGUGUGUUUCCCUUUUGCUACAGAUGCAAAAUUGAAAUUAAAACCAUGUUGCCCUACAGCCAAGCCACAAUGUACUCAGUUGUUGAUAACAUUAAUGAAGCACCACAAUGUGAUAAUACUUAGCAUUGGAAGGGGAGGGAGGGGUUACCGGUUUGUAGGGUUUUUUGUUCUUGUUUUUAUCAUGUAUUUUGUGCUUUUAUGUUGCAUUUUUAUGUUGUGAACCUCCCGGAUAUCUGCGGAUGGAGGGCAGUAUAAAGAAAGAAAGAAAGAAAGAAAGAAAGAAAGAAAGAAAGAAUAAUUACUAUCCCAUUUUGUCUCACUGGUGCUUUAACUUCAGAUAUUUUGACUAGGCAGGAAACAAGGAGCCUUUGUAUGUUUUUUCUUCCCAAAGCACUAAGAAUGCUUGCAAUAUACUUUCGGAAGGGAAAAAAGAAUGCAACUCCAAAUAUCUUGUCAUUUUUUCCCCUUUCAAAGUAGAGAUCCAUGGGAAAGAAUACUUUUGCAACCAUCAAACACCUUCGGAACAGGAAAAAGACCCAUUUGUAAGUUUGAAAAUGUUAGCUAAAUAUAAUGAAUCAAAUAUAGGCUCCCCCACCCUUCUAUAAAAUUUUGUCUGUGUCCAGAGUAAAGUGUGAACUCUGUUCUGAAUGUCAUUAUAGAAGAAAACUGUGGUUAAGCUGUUCAUUUUAAAUAUAAUUGAAUUGCUUGGGCACAUUAAAAUGUUGAAAUGUUUUAAGCAGAGGUAGGAGAAAUAAUUUUAACGAUGUUCUCUUUCAGAUAGUUAAUUAGCCUGCCAUGUAUGAAAGUGUAACAAGAACACCACCUACUGUAAAAGGGAAUGUUCUACACUCAGGAUGCUAAUUUAUUCAUGUCUGCACAAAGAGGGAAGACCGAGACUGUUAACCCUUGUCUGCCAGAGACUUUUGCAUACUCUCUAAAAUGAAUAUCACUGAAGACUCCUGCAAAGUUUAUUUGCUAGACAUCAUGAUGAGAGCAGAAUAACCAGUGUAGAUAUCAGAACAGCAGAAUAACAUAUGAUAUGUUUAAAAUUAAUCUGGACUGAUGUGUGAAGUGGCAAUUUACAUUGCAAAUAAAUCUUAAAACAGCUAUGAGUAUUUGCUUGGAACUAAGC
RNAcentral lists this long non-coding RNA (8151 nucleotides) under Podarcis lilfordi (Lilford's wall lizard). Lineage: Eukaryota; Metazoa; Chordata; Lepidosauria; Squamata; Lacertidae. The record is from RNAcentral.